RNAcentral lists this ribosomal RNA (1537 nucleotides) under uncultured Bordetella sp. RNAcentral describes it as "partial 16S-23S ribosomal RNA intergenic spacer". It matches the Rfam family "Bacterial small subunit ribosomal RNA". The record is from RNAcentral. Lineage: Bacteria; Pseudomonadati; Pseudomonadota; Betaproteobacteria; Burkholderiales; Alcaligenaceae.
UUCGUUCAGUUACGGCGGCUGCUCCUGGGGCAUCAGGUAAUGUGCUGAGGGUUCGAUUAUGGCUCAGAUUGAACGCUGGCAGGAUGCUUUACACAUGCAAGUCGAACGGCGGCACGGACUUCGGUCUGGUGGCGAGUGGCGAACAGGUGAGAAGUAAUGUAUCGGAACGUGCCUAGUAGCUGGGGAUAACUACGCGAAAGCGUAGACUAAUACCGCAUACGCCCUUCAGGGGAAAGCGGGGGACCUUCCGGGCCUCGCACUAUUAAACGGCCGAUAUCGGAUUAGCUAGUUGGUGGGGUGGCGGCUCACCAAGGCGACGAUCCGUAGCUGGUUUUGAGAGGACGACCAGCCCUGGGACUGAGACACAGCCCAGACUCCUACGGGAGGCAACGGUGGGAAUUUUGGACAAUGGGGGAAACCCUGAUCCAGCCAUCCCGCGUGUGCGAUGAAGGCCUUCGGGUUGUAAAGCACUUUUGGCAGGAAAGAAACGGCACGGGAUAAUACCCCGUGCAACUGACGGUACCACCACAGAAUAAGCACCGGCUAACUACGUGCCAGCAGCCGCGGUAAUACGUAGGGUGCAAGCGUUAAUCGGAAUUACUGGGCGUAAAGCGUGCCGCAGGCGGUUCGGAAGAAGAUGUGAAAUCCCAGAGCUUAACUUUGGAACUGCAUUUUUAACUACCGAGCUUAGAGUGUGUCAGAGGGAGGUGGAAUUCCGCGUGUAGCAGUAGAAUGCGUAGAUAACAAGAGGAACACCGAUGGCGAAGCGACCUCUGGGAUAACACUGACGCUCAUGCACGAAAGCAUUAAGGGGAGCAAACAGGAUUAGAUACCCUGGUAGUCCGCCCUAAACGAUGUCAACUAGCUGUUGGGGCCUUCAGGCCUUGGUAGCGCAGCUAACGCGUGAAGUUGACCGCCUGGGGAAGUACGGUCGCAAGAUUAAAACUCAAAGGAAUUGACGGGGACCCGCACAAGCGGUGGAUGAUGUGGAUUAAUUCGAUGCAACGCGAAAAACCUUACCUACCCUUGACAUGUCUGGAAUCCCGAAGAGAUUUGGGAGUGCUCGCAAGAGAACCGGAACACAGGUGCUGCAUGGCUGUCGUCAGCUCGUGUCGUGAGAUGUUGGGUUAAGUCCCGCAACAGGCGCAACCCUUGUCAUUAGUUGCUACGAAAGGGCACUCUAAUGAGACUGCCGGUGAUAAACCGGAGGAAGGUGGGGAUGACGUCAAGUCCUCAUGGCCCUUAUGGGUAGGGCUUCACACGUCAUACAAUGGUCGGGACAGAGGGUCGCCAACCCGCGAGGGGAGCCAAUCCCAGAAGCCCGAUCGUAGUCCGGAUCGCAGUCUGCAACUCGACUGCGUGAAGUCGGAAUCGCUAGUAAUCGCGGAUCAGCAUGUCGCAGUGAAUACGUUCCCGAAGGUCUUGUACACACCGCCCGUCACACCAUGGGAGUGGGUUUUGCAAGUAGUUAGCCUAACCGUAAGGAGGGCGAUUACCACAGUAGGAUUCAUGACUGGGUGAAGUCGUAACAAGGUAA